CAGCAGCCGCGGUAAUACGAGGGGGGCAAGCGUUGUUCGGAGUUACUGGGCGUAAAGCGCGCGCAGGCGGUUACUCAAGUCAGAGGUGAAAGCCCGGGGCUCAACCCCGGAACUGCCUUUGAAACUAGGUGACUAGAAUCUUGGAGAGAUCAGUGGAAUUCCAAGUGUAGAGGUGAAAUUCGUAGAUAUUCGGAAGAGCACCAGUGGCGAAGGCGACUGACUGGACAAGUAUUGACGCUGAGGUGCGAAAGCGUGGGGAGCAAACAGGAUUAGAUACCCCGGUAGUCCCUGUCUCUUAUAC
This 301-nucleotide ribosomal RNA is filed under the name uncultured bacterium. RNAcentral's name for it is "partial 16S ribosomal RNA". It matches the Rfam family "Bacterial small subunit ribosomal RNA", at positions 509 to 807 of the family's 1533-position model. The record is from RNAcentral.